AUACGUAGGGGGCGAGCGUUGUCCGGAAUGAUUGGGCGUAAAGGGCGCGUAGGCGGCCCGGUAAGUCUGGAGUGAAAGUCCUGUUUUUAAGAUGGGAAUUGCUUUGGAUACUGUCGGGCUUGAGUGCAGGAGAGGUAAGUGGAAUUCCCAGUGUAGCGGUGAAAUGCGUAGAGAUUGGGAGGAACACCAGUGGCGAAGGCGGCUUAUUGGACUGUAACUGACGCUGAGGCGCGAAAGUGUGGGGAGCAAACAGGAUUAGAUACCCUGGUAGUCCACGCUGUAAACGAUGAAUGCUAGGUGUAGGGGGUAUCGACCCCUUCUGUGCCGCAGUCAACACAAUAAGCAUUCCGCCUGGGGAGUACGGCCGCAAGGUUGAAACUCAAAUGAAUUGACGGGG
Molecule: ribosomal RNA, 397 nt
Filed under: uncultured bacterium
Lineage: Bacteria
Description: partial 16S ribosomal RNA
Rfam family: Bacterial small subunit ribosomal RNA
Source: RNAcentral